Molecule: long non-coding RNA, 687 nt
Filed under: Salmo salar (Atlantic salmon)
Lineage: Eukaryota; Metazoa; Chordata; Actinopteri; Salmoniformes; Salmonidae
Description: lncRNA (ENSSSAG00000086252.1)
Source: RNAcentral
GGAGGUCUAUCCAUCUGUAGUAAGCCCCUCUCUGUAGCCCUGGAGGUCUAUCCAUCUGUAGUAAGCCCCUCUCUGUAGCCCUGGAGGUCUAUCCAUCUGUAGUAAGCCCCUCUCUGUAGCCCUGGAGGUCUAUCCAUCUGUAGUAAGCCCCUCUCUGUAGUCCUGGAGGUCUAUCCAUCUGUAGUAAGCCCCUCUCUGUAGCCCUGGAGGUCCAUCCAUCUGUAGUAAGCCCAUCACAGGGUUCAUUGGUCAUUUCCAUGUCAACUUCAGCUUCCUUAUAUAGAGCAGGGUACUACUACCUGUUUGCUGGAACGGGCGCGAGAGGGAGAACCCUCUAUUCCUCUCGACUACGGAGAACAGGCGCAUAUCUGCUACUAUAAACAUAUCUAUCGCUCCUGUAGUGUCUUUCGACCGGUCAGAAUCAGCUGCCGAGGGCUGCUUGAGAGCAGAGGGGAGACCAAGUUGUUGUUGUGUGUUUCCGUCUUGCUUCGGCGGCAGUAAUAUACAUGUUUUAAGGUGUUGGCAGCUCCAUAGGCUAUUCUGGUUGAACAACGGAGACAUACUCUCUCUGUCCGUCACCGUUGUAAUCUACCGGGAAGCCUAAAUGUUACCAAAGUGGAGAUUUAAACAAUAGAGAAUUAUCCUGGUUUAUCCUGGUAGGCCCGUCAUUAUAAAUAAGAAUUUGUU